RNAcentral lists this ribosomal RNA (402 nucleotides) under uncultured bacterium. RNAcentral's name for it is "bacterial SSU rRNA". It matches the Rfam family "Bacterial small subunit ribosomal RNA", at positions 355 to 774 of the family's 1533-position model. The record is from RNAcentral.
UGGGGAAUAUUGGACAAUGGGCGCAAGCCUGAUCCAGCAAUGCCGCGUGGAUGAAGAAGGUUUUCGGAUUGUAAAGUCCUUUCGACGGGGACGAUGAUGACGGUACCCGUAGAAGAAGCCCCGGCUAACUUCGUGCCAGCAGCCGCGGUAAUACGAAGGGGGCUAGCGUUGCUCGGAAUGACUGGGCGUAAAGGGCGCGUAGGCGGAAUGCUUUGUCGGGCGUGAAAUUCCAGGGCUUAACCUUGGGACUGCGUUCGAGACGGGUAUUCUAGAGUGGAGAAGAGGGUCGUGGAAUUCCCAGUGUAGAGGUGAAAUUCGUAGAUAUUGGGAAGAACACCGGUGGCGAAGGCGGCGACCUGGUCUUUUACUGACGCUGAGGCGCGAAAGCGUGGGGAGCAAACA